CCUACGGGUGGCAGCAGUGGGGAAUAUUGCACAAUGGGGGAAACCCUGAUGCAGCGACGCCGCGUGAGCGAUGAAGUAUUUCGGUAUGUAAAGCUCUAUCAGCAGGGAAGAAAAUGACGGUACCUGACUAAGAAGCCCCGGCUAACUACGUGCCAGCAGCCGCGGUAAUACGUAGGGGGCAAGCGUUAUCCGGAUUUACUGGGUGUAAAGGGAGCGUAGACGGCUUGGCAAGCCAGAUGUGAAAGCCUAGGGCUCAACCCCAGGACUGCAUUUGAAACUGUCAAGCUGGAGUGUCGGAGAGGUAGGCGGAAUUCCUAGUGUAGCGGUGAAAUGCGGAGAGAUUAGGAGGAACACCAGUGGCGAAGGCGGCUUGCUGGACGAUGACUGACGUUGAGGCUCGAAAGCGUGGGGAGCAAACAGGAUUAGAUACCCUGGUAGUC
Molecule: ribosomal RNA, 440 nt
Filed under: uncultured bacterium
Lineage: Bacteria
Description: partial 16S ribosomal RNA
Rfam family: Bacterial small subunit ribosomal RNA
Source: RNAcentral